CCCUAUUUUAAUUUAUAUUAUAUCGAAUCUAUUCCCCUUCUUCCGAAUGCAAAGAAUAAAUCAUCUAAACUCACAUAACAUAUGGCCAAUAAUUAUGGAAGCAAUCAAAUCAUAUAAAUCAAACAAUUGUCCAACUGAAACUUUAUAUUGAAUUUAUGAAAUAAAGGAAAUUAAAUAAUCAAAGGUUCAUCGAUUUCCUAAUGAAUAAAAACCCUAGCCUAUGAUCAUAAUUACAGAAUCAAGAAUUAAAACGAAAUUAAAAGAUAUAAAGAAUACACUCGUAUGAUAAUCCUUCAAUUUUGUGUGUAAUCUUCAAUUCAUUCUUGAAUCCUUGUGAAAUCAAG
This 344-nucleotide long non-coding RNA is filed under the name Olea europaea (common olive). Its description in RNAcentral is "long non-coding RNA (OEUR_LNC008570)". The record is from RNAcentral. Lineage: Eukaryota; Viridiplantae; Streptophyta; Magnoliopsida; Lamiales; Oleaceae.